Aedes aegypti (yellow fever mosquito) is the source of this 1460-nucleotide long non-coding RNA. RefSeq lists it as uncharacterized. The transcript is spliced from 3 exons. NCBI's taxonomy places the organism in Eukaryota, Metazoa, Arthropoda, Insecta, Diptera, Culicidae. The record is from RefSeq and is a predicted model, not a curated record.
CGUGAUCAAACCAAUAUACCGUGUACGCACCUAACUUUGCGCAGCUCCAAACUUUGCGCAUUUUUAAGAAGCAUGAAAAAAUGAUAAUUAAUCAAUGAUUUUUUCAACAAUUCAGUUUCAGUAACAUGUUCGUUUAUGUGAAAUAAGUAUUUGACAUACAUUUGUUUACUAAGAAAACCUCGUAAAUGUUAGUAAAUAACCCAAAAACCCUAUCGUCACACGUAUAAACGUCAACUUUUACACCGUCUUAGCACAAGCACUAAGGAGUGGCUUUGCCAAAAAUCAACAUUUUUUCGAACAAAACUGUGUUGUGAGAUGUAUAUUUGCGGUGUAUUUGCAAAAAGAGGUAAUAUUCUAGUAAUUCCCUCAAUUUUCCAUACAAUAUGUCGAAUUUUUAUUUGAAAAAAAAGCGAUGCGCAAUGUUAGGACCCAUUUUUUACAUGAGGGUCUUAAUUUUUGCGCACUUCUAGCAAUUCAAAAUGGCACGUACAUACAUGUACGUCAUUACAAAUGAUAAUAGCUGUCGAUCUUACCAGGAAUGGUCACUCAAUCCAUAAGGCAGUGGCUACAUAUAAUAUUUCUGAAAGGACCUUUUGUAUGAAGCUGAAGGCAAGGUUUGCAUCGAAAAAUCUCGGAAAACCCACUUGACGCAGGAGGAGACUUUUACUGUGAACUUGGAAAAUUGAUAGCGCAAAGGUUGGCUUACCACUUCAUGGACAAUAAUUCAAAAUUCAGUUGUCUAGCAAAAAACGUUCAAUUAUGGAAUAUCCGUACUGACGUCAAAUAAAUAAAAAAUAAUUAAUCACGAGAGAUCAACGAUACAUCGAAUCCCGAACUUAUCGAUGCUUUCCAUGGAUUCGAUGAAGCUUCAGUUGAAAGUAAAGGUCCGUCCAUUAAGGGACAGUCCCUAAGCAACCUGCAGCUUGCAAUAUUAAUAGACAAACGAGAAAUCUCUCGAGCAUAGCAUGUCUGAACUUUAAUUGAAGCACAUCACUGCUAAUGACUCGUCAAGUUCAUCUGGAAAUCCUCCACUUCCAGCUGACGACAUGUACAACAGAGAAGAUUUUCUUUAGAAAGCUUCUAAAUUGUGCGAAAUUGAAUCGUUCACGGCCAUCAGCAGUGAAUACGAGCAUCGAAUUUCGGUAGUUAUUGAAGGAGAUGAAACAAAAUAGGAAAAACGAAAAACAAAAACAACAAAAAAAUAAAAAAAGGUUAAAAAAUUAAAAAAAAAACAAGAGAAUAAAUUAUAUAAAGCAACGUACGAAAACAAAUAAGUAUAUGCUACGGCUGUAAACUAUAUUGCUCAGAUUGUAAUCUUGUGAAUAUAUAAUAAAAAAUAAGAACAGUGUAAAUCACUAUUCGUGGUCACUCUAUGUUUGUGGUUGUUGAAUAAAUUAAAUUGAAUUUAAAUUCACGGAAAAACUACUGAUGAAACUCAUAUUAGUUGUAACCUUUUUAUU